Molecule: ribosomal RNA, 909 nt
Filed under: uncultured bacterium
Lineage: Bacteria
Description: bacterial SSU rRNA
Rfam family: Bacterial small subunit ribosomal RNA
Source: RNAcentral
AGUUUGAUCCUGGCUCAGAUUGAACGCUGGCGGCGUGCCUAACACAUGCAAGUCGAUCGGUAACGCGGGGCAACCUGGCGACGAGAGGCGGACGGGUGAGCAAUAUUUGGGAAUCUACCUAUUAGUGGGGGAUAACCCGGGGAAACUCGGGCUAAUACCGCAUACGCUCUACGGAGGAAAGCCGGGGAUCGCAAGACCUGGCGCUAUUAGAUGAGCCCAAAUCGGAUUAGCUAGUUGGUGAGGUAACGGCUCACCAAGGCGACGAUCCGUAGCUGGUUUGAGAGAACGACCAGCCACACCGGAACUGAGACACGGUCCGGACUCCUACGGGAGGCAGCAGUGGGGAAUAUUGGACAAUGGGGGAAACCCUGAUCCAGCGACGCCGCGUGGGUGAAGAAGGCCUGCGGGUUGUAAAGCCCUUUCGGUUGGGAAGAACAGUAUUGACCUAACACGUCAGUACCUUGACGUAACCAACAAAAGAAGCACCGGCUAACUCUGUGCCAGCAGCCGCGGUAAUACAGAGGGUGCAAGCGUUAAUCGGAAUUACUGGGCGUAAAGCGCGCGUAGGCGGCUUGACAAGUCGAGUGUGAAAUCCCCGGGCUUAACCUGGGAGCUGCAUUCGAAACUGUCUUGCUAGAGUAUGGGAGAGGGAGGUGGAAUUUCAGGUGUAGCGGUGAAAUGCGCAGAUAUCUGAAGGAACAUCAGUGGCGAAAGCGACCUCCUGGACCAAUACUGACGCUCAGGUGCGAAAGCGUGGGGAGCAAACAGGAUUAGAUACCCUGGUAGUCCACGCCAUAAACGAUGAGAACUGGAUGUUGGGAGCAUUAGGCUCCCGGUGUCGUAGCUAACGCGUUAAGUUCUCCGCCUGGGGAGUACGGCCGCAAGGUUGAAACUCAAAGGAAUUGACGG